This 1380-nucleotide ribosomal RNA is filed under the name uncultured bacterium. Its description in RNAcentral is "16S ribosomal RNA". It matches the Rfam family "Bacterial small subunit ribosomal RNA". The record is from RNAcentral.
UUCGCCCUUAGAGUUUGAUCCUGGCUCAGGACGAACGCUGGCGGCGCGCCUAACACAUGCAAGUCGAACGAGCGAGAGAGAGCUUGCUUUCUCGAGCGAGUGGCGAACGGGUGAGUAACGCGUGAGGAACCUGCCUCAAAGAGGGGGACAACAGUUGGAAACGACUGCUAAUACCGCAUAAGCCCACAGCUCGGCAUCGAGCAGAGGGAAAAGGAGCAAUCCGCUUUGAGAUGGCCUCGCGUCCGAUUAGCUGGUUGGUGAGGUACGGCCCACCAAGGCGACGAUCGGUAGCCGGACUGAGAGGUUGAACGGCCACAUUGGGACUGAGACACGGCCCAGACUCCUACGGGAGGCAGCAGUGGGGAAUAUUGCACAAUGGGGGAAACCCUGAUGCAGCGACGCCGCGUGGAGGAAGAAGGUCUUCGGAUUGUAAACUCCUGUUGUUGAGGAAGAUAAUGACGGUACUCAACAAGGAAGUGACGGCUAACUACGUGCCAGCAGCCGCGGUAAAACGUAGGUCACAAGCGUUGUCCGGAAUUACUGGGUGUAAAGGGAGCGCAGGCGGGAAGACAAGUUGGAAGUGAAAUCCAUGGGCUCAACCCAUGAACUGCUUUCAAAACUGUUUUUCUUGAGUAGUGCAGAGGUAGGCGGAAUUCCCGGUGUAGCGGUGGAAUGCGUAGAUAUCGGGAGGAACACCAGUGGCGAAGGCGGCCUACUGGGCACCAACUGACGCUGAGGCUCGAAAGUGUGGGUAGCAAACAGGAUUAGAUACCCUGGUAGUCCACACUGUAAACGAUGAUUACUAGGUGUUUGGAGGAUUGACCCCUUCAGUGCCGCAGUUAACACAAUAAGUAAUCCACCUGGGGAGUACGACCGCAAGGUUGAAACUCAAAGGAAUUGACGGGGGCCCGCACAAGCAGUGGAGUAUGUGGUUUAAUUCGACGCAACGCGAAGAACCUUACCAAGUCUUGACAUCCUGCGACGGUGCUGGAAACAGUACUUUCCUUCGGGACGCAGAGACAGGUGGUGCAUGGUUGUCGUCAGCUCGUGUCGUGAGAUGUUGGGUUAAGUCCCGCAACGAGCGCAACCCUUAUGGUCAGUUACUACGCAAGAGGACUCUGGCCAGAUUGCCGUUGACAAAACGGAGGAAGGUGGGGAUGACGUCAAAUCAUCAUGCCCUUUAUGACUUGGGCUACACACGUACUACAAUGGCGUUAAACAAAGAGAAGCAAGACCGCGAGGCGGAGCAAAACUCAGAAACAACGUCCCAGUUCGGACUGCAGGCUGCAACUCGCCUGCACGAAGUCGGAAUUGCUAGUAAUCGCAGAUCAGCAUGCUGCGGUGAAUACGUAUCCCGGGCCUUGCACACACCGCCCGUCA